This 1282-nucleotide small RNA is filed under the name Pan troglodytes (chimpanzee). Its description in RNAcentral is "retained intron". Lineage: Eukaryota; Metazoa; Chordata; Mammalia; Primates; Hominidae. The record is from RNAcentral.
AAGAUGGCGAUGGCUACGGUAGCAGCGGCGGCGGCUGUUGCCUGGCCCGGGACCCUGGGGACGGGGGCCGAGUAGCGCCUUCCCCGGGCCCCGUGAACCGGCUGCGGGUCGCCCUUGGGGGGCAGCGGCCGCAGCCCCCCACCUGGGCCCUCGGUCCGCCCUCCCGGCGCGUCCAUGAACUCAGUGUCGCCGGCCGCCGCGCAGUACCGGAGCAGCAGCCCGGAGGACGCGCGCCGCCGGCCCGAGGCCCGCAGGCCGCGGGGUCCCAGAGGCCCAGACCCCAACGGCCUGGGGCCUUCCGGAGCCAGCGGCCUCGCUCUUGGCUCUCCCGCGGCUGGCCCGAGUGAGCCGGACGAAGUGGACAAGUUCAAGGCCAAGUUCCUGACAGCCUGGAACAACGUCAAAUGGGGGAAUGGAAGCGCUGUUGCUGUCAUGCAAGUGCUUCAUCUCGCUGGGCGCUGCCCCUACGUCUCCCCAGGUUGGGUGGUUAAAAGCCGGACCAGCUUUAGCAAGAUCUCCAGCAUCCACCUCUGUGGCCGCCGCUACCGUUUCGAGGGCGAGGGUGACAUACAGCGUUUCCAGCGGGACUUUGUGUCCCGCCUGUGGCUCACAUACCGCCGGGACUUCCCGCCCCUUCCUGGGGGCUGCCUGACCUCGGACUGUGGCUGGGGGUGCAUGUUACGCAGCGGCCAGAUGAUGCUGGCACAAGGCCUUCUGCUGCAUUUCCUGCCCAGAGACUGGACAUGGGCCGAGGGCAUGGGCCUGGGCCCCCCUGAGCUGUCAGGGUCAGCCUCUCCCAGCCGGUACCAUGGGCCUGCCCGCUGGAUGCCCCCACGCUGGGCCCAGGGUGCCCCUGAGCUGGAGCAGGAACGCCGGCACCGGCAGAUUGUGUCCUGGUUCGCCGACCACCCCCGGGCCCCCUUUGGCCUACACCGGCUGGUGGAGCUUGGGCAGAGCUCAGGCAAGAAGGCAGGUGACUGGUAUGGGCCAUCGCUGGUGGCACACAUCCUCAGGUGAGGGCCGCUGCAGGGAUCACGGGAGUUGCUGGGUACCCGCAGGCACUCAGGCCUUCCCUCCUGCCCCCAGGAAAGCCGUGGAGAGCUGCUCCGAGGUCACCCGCCUGGUGGUGUACGUUUCUCAGGACUGCACAGUGUACAAGGCGGAUGUGGCACGCCUGGUGGCCAGGCCAGACCCCACAGCCGAGUGGAAGUCUGUGGUCAUCCUGGUGCCCGUGCGACUGGGUGGCGAGACUCUCAACCCCGUGUAUGUGCCCUGCGUGAAG